This is a small nuclear RNA of Cryptotermes secundus, 107 nucleotides long. Lineage: Eukaryota; Metazoa; Arthropoda; Insecta; Blattodea; Kalotermitidae. The record is from RefSeq and is a predicted model, not a curated record.
GUACUCACUUCGGCGGUGCUUAUACUACAAUUGGAACGAUACAGAGAAGAUUAGCACGGCGCCUGCGCAAGGAUGACACGCAAAAUCGAGAAGCCUUCCACAUUUAU